Molecule: ribosomal RNA, 613 nt
Filed under: Pseudomonas sp.
Lineage: Bacteria; Pseudomonadati; Pseudomonadota; Gammaproteobacteria; Pseudomonadales; Pseudomonadaceae
Description: bacterial SSU rRNA
Source: RNAcentral
CUAGGAAUCUGCCUGGUAGUGGGGGAUAACGYUCCGAAAGGAACGCUAAUACCGCAUACGUCCUACGGGAGAAAGCAGGGGACCUUCGGGCCUUGCGCUAUCAGAUGAGCCUAGGUCGGAUUAGCUAGUUGGUGAGGUAAUGGCUCACCAAGGCGACGAUCCGUAACUGGUCUGAGAGGAUGAUCAGUCACACUGGAACUGAGACACGGUCCAGACUCCUACGGGAGGCAGCAGUGGGGAAUAUUGGACAAUGGGCGAAAGCCUGAUCCAGCCAUGCCGCGUGUGUGAAGAAGGUCUUCGGAUUGUAAAGCACUUUAAGUUGGGAGGAAGGGCAUUAACCUAAUACGUUAGUGUUUUGACGUUACCGACAGAAUAAGCACCGGCUAACUUCGUGCCAGCAGCCGCGGUAAUACGAAGGGUGCAAGCGUUAAUCGGAAUUACUGGGCGUAAAGCGCGCGUAGGUGGUUCGUUAAGUUGGAUGUGAAAGCCCCGGGCUCAACCUGGGAACUGCAUCCAAAACUGGCGAGCUAGAGUACGGUAGAGGGUGGUGGAAUUUCCUGUGUAGCGGUGAAAUGCGUAAAUAGGAAGGAACACCAGUGGCGAAGGCGACCAC